ACCAGACUCGGGAGGCAGCAGUGGGGAAUAUUGCACAAUGGGGGAAACCCUGAUGCAGCGACGCCGCGUGAGCGAAGAAGUACCUCGGUAUGUAAAGCUCUAUCAGCAGGGAAGAAAGUGACAGUACCUGACUAAGAAGCCCCGGCUAACUACGUGCCAGCAGCCGCGGUAAUACGUAGGGGGCAAGCGUUAUCCGGAUUCACUGGGCGUAAAGGGAGCGCAGGCGGCGCGGCAAGUCUGAUGUGAAAGCCCGGGGCUCAACCCCGGGGCUGCAUUGGAAACUGUCGAGCUAGAGUGUCGGAGGGGUAAGCGGAAUUCCUAGUGUAGCGGUGAAAUGCGUAGAUAUUAGGAGGAACACCAGUGGCGAAGGGGGCGUACUGGACGAUGACUGACGCUGAGGCUCGAAAGCGUGGGGAGCAAACAGGAUUAGAUACCCGCGUAAUC
RNAcentral lists this ribosomal RNA (444 nucleotides) under uncultured bacterium. Its description in RNAcentral is "bacterial SSU rRNA". It matches the Rfam family "Bacterial small subunit ribosomal RNA", at positions 330 to 795 of the family's 1533-position model. The record is from RNAcentral.